CUGUUCUUGACUUCUUGUACAAGCAUGUCACCAAGUCCCUCAUCCUUACUUCGAUAUCAUUGCCAUUUUGACAAUGAUUGUCGAGGACAUCAGCAAAGGCUUCCACAUAUUUAUUUCAUUCGGACCUAGUUUCCGGGUCACUAAAAUAAAAAAGAAGAUUGAUGGGUGUCAUGAGUCAAUGUUCAAGUGAAAACGAAUUACUCAUUUAUGA
RNAcentral lists this long non-coding RNA (211 nucleotides) under Zostera marina. RNAcentral describes it as "long non-coding RNA (ZMAR_LNC000878)". Lineage: Eukaryota; Viridiplantae; Streptophyta; Magnoliopsida; Alismatales; Zosteraceae. The record is from RNAcentral.